AUUGAACGCUGGCGGAAUGCUUUACACAUGCAAGUCGAACGGCAGCACGGGGGCAACCCUGGUGGCGAGUGGCGAACGGGUGAGUAAUACAUCGGAACGUGCCCGGUCGUGGGGGAUGACGUAGCGAAAGUUACGCUAAUACCGCAUACGAUCUGAGGAUGAAAGCGGGGGACCUUCGGGCCUCGCGCGAUCGGAGCGGCCGAUGUCAGAUUAGGUAGUUGGUGGGGUAAAGGCCUACCAAGCCGACGAUCUGUAGCUGGUCUGAGAGGACGACCAGCCACACUGGGACUGAGACACGGCCCAGACUCCUACGGGAGGCAGCAGUGGGGAAUUUUGGACAAUGGGCGCAAGCCUGAUCCAGCCAUUCCGCGUGCAGGACGAAGGCCUUCGGGUUGUAAACUGCUUUUGUAUGGAACGAAAAGGCUCUGGCUAAUACCUGGGGCUCAUGACGGUACCGUAAGAAUAAGCACCGGCUAACUACGUG
This 484-nucleotide ribosomal RNA is filed under the name uncultured bacterium. RNAcentral describes it as "partial 16S ribosomal RNA". It matches the Rfam family "Bacterial small subunit ribosomal RNA", at positions 30 to 507 of the family's 1533-position model. The record is from RNAcentral.